Molecule: long non-coding RNA, 278 nt
Organism: Helianthus annuus (common sunflower)
Lineage: Eukaryota; Viridiplantae; Streptophyta; Magnoliopsida; Asterales; Asteraceae
Exons: 3
Source: RefSeq, a predicted model, not a curated record
UCGGCUUUUGGUGAUAUACCCUGGUUCCACCAUUUGAGAAGGGGAUCGCACCUAUGCGCGCCAACGUGUCUACGUAAGACUGCAAAGAACCCCUUGGUUGAACAAACAAAGCAGUACCAUUCCCAUAAUAUGCAAGAACCCCUUGGUUGAAAAAACAAAGCACAACGGUUCCCAUUUCAGGGUCGGAUGUAUGCAAGGUAACUGAUCUAUUUGUUUUCAACCAUUGUAUAGAUAUGAUUGGUUUUAUCUAGACAGGGAACAAGCAUCAGACCUAUUUG